RNAcentral lists this ribosomal RNA (549 nucleotides) under uncultured bacterium. Its description in RNAcentral is "bacterial SSU rRNA". It matches the Rfam family "Bacterial small subunit ribosomal RNA", at positions 355 to 896 of the family's 1533-position model. The record is from RNAcentral.
UGGGGAAUAUUGCACAAUGGGCGCAAGCCUGAUGCAGCCAUGCCGCGUGUGUGAAGAAGGCCUUAGGGUUGUAAAGCACUUUCAGCGAGGAGGAAAGGUGAUUAGUUAAUACCUGAUUACUGUGACGUUACUCGCAGAAGAAGCACCGGCUAACUCCGUGCCAGCAGCCGCGGUAAUACGGAGGGUGCGAGCGUUAAUCGGAAUUACUGGGCGUAAAGCGUGCGUAGGCGGCUACUUAAGUUGGAUGUGAAAGCCCCGGGCUUAACCUGGGAACUGCAUCCAAAACUGGGUGGCUAGAGUGCGAGAGAGGAGUGUGGAAUUUCCUGUGUAGCGGUGAAAUGCGUAGAUAUAGGAAGGAACACCAGUGGCGAAGGCGACACUCUGGCUUGACACUGACGCUGAGGUACGAAAGCGUGGGGAGCAAACAGGAUUAGAUACCCUGGUAGUCCACGCCGUAAACGAUGUCUACUAAUUGUCCGUUGUCUUGUACGAUGGGUAAUGCAGCUAACGCGAUAAGUAGACCGCCUGGGGAGUACGGCCGCAAGGUUA